Long non-coding RNA from Tetranychus urticae (two-spotted spider mite), 389 nucleotides. RefSeq lists it as uncharacterized. NCBI's taxonomy places the organism in Eukaryota, Metazoa, Arthropoda, Arachnida, Trombidiformes, Tetranychidae. The record is from RefSeq and is a predicted model, not a curated record.
CUUGUUGAUUUUUCCAUUCGCGGAGCGUUGACUUUAUGUGCAGCCUUGUGCAGGACAAAUCCAAGUCUAUUAAGCAUUACAGAUGACCUCUUCUUAUUCACUUGUCUAACAUCCUUUCCAUUGUGAUUGUGUCGUUGCUGGAACCUUCCGAUUCACCAUCUUCUUUGCUCUCUCCAUAUUCAUUUGGAUGGUCAGCUAGUCGAGCUUUUACAUAGUCAUUGAUGCGUUGGCGACCCUGGACGAAAUAUGAUAUUAAUAAUGGAAAAAGAAAAAGAAAGAUAAAUGUUACAAUUUUGUUAAGACAUUUGAUUCCAAUUUGGUCAAUCUCGAAGGUUAAAUUACAUCUUGAAGACUUUCAAUGUCAAAAAUUAAACAAUCAAGUCCAUCAA